RNAcentral lists this ribosomal RNA (478 nucleotides) under uncultured bacterium. RNAcentral describes it as "partial 16S ribosomal RNA". It matches the Rfam family "Bacterial small subunit ribosomal RNA", at positions 28 to 523 of the family's 1533-position model. The record is from RNAcentral.
GACGAACGCUGGCGGCGUGCUUAACACAUGCAAGUCGAGCGAUGAAGUUCCUUCGGGAAUGGAUUAGCGGCGGACGGGUGAGUAACACGUUGGUAACCUGCCUCAUCGAGGGGAAUAGCCUUUCGAAAGGACGAUUAAUACCGCAUAAGAUUGUAGUAUCGCAUGAUACAGCAAUUAAAGGAGUAAUCCGCUAUGGGAGGGACCCGCGGCGAAUUAGCUAGUUGGGGAGGUAACGGCUCACCAAGGCGACGAUGCGUAGCCGACCUGAGAGGGUGAUCGGCCACAUUGGGACUGAGACACGGCCCAGACUCCUACGGGAGGCAGCAGUGGGGAAUAUUGCACAAUGGGGGAAACCCGGAUGCAGCAACGCCGCGUGAGUGAUGACGGUCUUCGGAUUGUAAAACUCUGUCUUCAGGGACGAUAAUGACGGUACCUGAGGAGGAAGCCACGGCUAACUACGUGCCAGCAGCCGCCGUAA